AAGUCGUAACAAGGUUUCCGUAGGUGAACCUGCGGAAGGAUCAUUACUGAGAUAUGGUUCAUUCGAGCCCGACCUCCAACCCUUUGUCUACCAAACCUCUGUUGCCUCGGCGGGCCGCCGCCCCCUUCACCGGGGUCGCCGUCGGCCUCGUGCUCUCGAGUGCCUGCCGCAGGACCUUUAUAAACUCUUUAUAACAAGUUUUCUGAGUGGAUAUUUAAUUGCUUCAAAAAAAACUUUCAACAACGGAUCUCUUGGUUCUG
RNAcentral lists this unclassified non-coding RNA (260 nucleotides) under air metagenome. Its description in RNAcentral is "partial contains small subunit ribosomal RNA, internal transcribed spacer 1, and 5.8S ribosomal RNA". The stretch from base 1 to 46 matches the Rfam family "Eukaryotic small subunit ribosomal RNA", at positions 1786 to 1831 of the family's 1831-position model. The record is from RNAcentral.